Molecule: long non-coding RNA, 470 nt
Organism: Myiozetetes cayanensis
Lineage: Eukaryota; Metazoa; Chordata; Aves; Passeriformes; Tyrannidae
Exons: 2
Source: RefSeq, a predicted model, not a curated record
GCGGAGUAGUUUGCUGUGAAAAACCAAACUGAAACAAGCCAAACCCCGUUUGGAAAAUAAAACAACACGGCUCGGGGAGGGUCGCGGCGAAACGCCACUCACCGGGGUUGUUGGCCUCCCCUUCGAGGAUGUGGAGCUCGGUGCAGUCUGCCAGGGAAUGCUCGAGGCAGAGCUGGAGGAAGCGAGCCUGGGUCCGGCUGACGCGUUUGAGCAGGGAGAGCAGCGCAACAGUCUGCUCGCACUCGUUCCAGCCCUUGAACCACCCGGCCAACACGCCGACCUGGUCUCGGAACAUCAUGGUGAGCCGGAGGGACAGCUCUGCGGGGAGAGAAUAAAUAACCGGGACAGCCUCCCUGCCCCCGGCGCCGCCGCCGCCACCGUGCUCGGGGCAGGGCUGUUCAAAAUAAAAAUAAAAAUAAAAAUAAUAAUAAUAAUAAUAAUAGAAAUAACGGCGAUUAAAAAUAAAAAGG